This 463-nucleotide ribosomal RNA is filed under the name uncultured bacterium. Its description in RNAcentral is "partial 16S ribosomal RNA". It matches the Rfam family "Bacterial small subunit ribosomal RNA", at positions 28 to 507 of the family's 1533-position model. The record is from RNAcentral.
GAUGAACGCUGACAGAAUGCUUAACACAUGCAAGUCUUUGGCGAAGCUGUGCUUGCACAGCCUAGCCAAGGCGGACGGGUGAGUAACGCGUAAGGAACUUGCCCUGCAGUCAGGGAUAACAGACGGAAACGACUGAUAAAACCUGGUAAAGUCAGGCGGACUCAUGUCCAGCCUGAUGAAAAGAGAUGCUGCAGGAGAGCCUUGCGUCCUAUUAGCUUGUUGGUGGGGUAACGGCCCACCAAGGCGAUGAUAGGUAGCCGGCCUGAGAGGGUGGACGGCCACAAGGGGACUGAGAUACGGCCCUUACUCCUACGGGAGGCAGCAGUGGGGAAUAUUGGACAAUGGGGGCAACCCUGAUCCAGCAAUUCUGUGUGCACGAUGAAGGUUUUCGGAUUGUAAAGUGCUUUCAGCAGGGAAGAAAAAAAUGACGGUACCUGCAGAAGAAGCGACGGCUAAAUACGUG